RNAcentral lists this ribosomal RNA (26 nucleotides) under Pichia kudriavzevii. RNAcentral describes it as "partial 28S ribosomal RNA". Lineage: Eukaryota; Fungi; Ascomycota; Pichiomycetes; Pichiales; Pichiaceae. The record is from RNAcentral.
AAGCUCGACCUCAAAUCAUGUAGAUG